AUACAGAGGGUGCAAGCGUUAAUCGGAUUUACUGGGCGUAAAGCGCGCGUAGGUGGCUAAUUAAGUCAAAUGUGAAAUCCCCGAGCUUAACUUGGGAAUUGCAUUCGAUACUGGUUAGCUAGAGUAUGGGAGAGGAUGGUAGAAUUCCCGGUGUAGCGGUGAAAUGCGUAGAGAUCUGGAGGAAUACCGAUGGCGAAGGCAGCCAUCUGGCCUAAUACUGACACUGAGGUGCGAAAGCAUGGGGAGCAAACAGGAUUAGAUACCCUGGUAGUCCAUGCCGUAAACGAUGUCUACUAGCCGUUGGGGCCCUUGAGGCUUUAGUGGCGCAGCUAACGCGAUAAGUAGACCGCCUGGGGAGUACGGUCGCAAGACUAAAACUCAAAUGAAUUGACGGGG
RNAcentral lists this ribosomal RNA (396 nucleotides) under uncultured bacterium. Its description in RNAcentral is "partial 16S ribosomal RNA". It matches the Rfam family "Bacterial small subunit ribosomal RNA", at positions 523 to 918 of the family's 1533-position model. The record is from RNAcentral.